RNAcentral lists this ribosomal RNA (215 nucleotides) under uncultured bacterium. RNAcentral describes it as "partial 16S ribosomal RNA". It matches the Rfam family "Bacterial small subunit ribosomal RNA", at positions 338 to 543 of the family's 1533-position model. The record is from RNAcentral.
CCUACGGGAGGCAGCAGUGGGGAAUUUUGGACAAUGGGCGAAAGCCUGAUCCAGCAAUGCCGCGUGAGUGAAGAAGGCCUUCGGGUUGUAAAGCUCUUUCAGUCGAGAAGAAAAGGUUGUGACUAAUAAUCACAACUUAUGACGGUACCGACAGAAGAAGCACCGGCUAACUACGUGCCAGCAGCCGCGGUAAUACGUAGGGUGCGAGCGUUAAU